GUGGGGAAUCUUAGACAAUGGGCGCAAGCCUGAUCUAGCCAUGCCGCGUGGACGAUGAAGGCCUUAGGGUUGUAAAGUCCUUUCGCUGGGGAAGAUAAUGACGGUACCCAGUAAAGAAGCCCCGGCUAACUCCGUGCCAGCAGCCGCGGUAAUACGGAGGGGGCUAGCGUUGUUCGGAAUUACUGGGCGUAAAGCGCGCGUAGGCGGAUCGGAAAGUUGGGGGUGAAAUCCCGGGGCUCAACCUCGGAACUGCCUUCAAAACUCCCGGUCUUGAGUUCGAGAGAGGUGAGUGGAAUUCCGAGUGUAGAGGUGAAAUUCGUAGAUAUUCGGAGGAACACCAGUGGCGAAGGCGGCUCACUGGCUCGAUACUGACGCUGAGGUGCGAAAGCGUGGGGAGCAAACAGGAUUAGAUACCCCAGUAGUCC
Molecule: ribosomal RNA, 425 nt
Filed under: uncultured bacterium
Lineage: Bacteria
Description: partial 16S ribosomal RNA
Rfam family: Bacterial small subunit ribosomal RNA
Source: RNAcentral